Arachis stenosperma is the source of this 1258-nucleotide long non-coding RNA. RefSeq lists it as uncharacterized. The transcript has 3 exons. NCBI's taxonomy places the organism in Eukaryota, Viridiplantae, Streptophyta, Magnoliopsida, Fabales, Fabaceae. The record is from RefSeq and is a predicted model, not a curated record.
UGCCUUGCCCCAAAUUAAAUUAAACCCUAAACUCCUUUGCCUCAGCUGCACCGCCACCCCUCUUUCAUCCCUUUCAGUAUAACACUACUCACCCACAAUCCCUAAUUCAGUGCUGCUACCCCCUCACACACCUUCACCUCAGCUCCACACAUACUCAGCCUCACUACCCUCUCAUUAAUACAACACACACGCACAGCUCCGCACUCACCGACGGAAGAGAAGGAAGGGAGCGCAGCGCCAGGGGCGGAGAAGCUCGCUGCCGUCAACCCUGCCGUCGCCGUCCGUGAAGUCCGCGCUAGUGCCGUCGCGGAGGAACGUCCCUGUUGUUGCAAACUAUUGCCAUCGCCGAUGAGGAUCCAUAGCUGGGAAGCAUGUCGCCGUUGCUGCUGUCCGUCCAGCCGAGCUGUCGCCGUCGCUGCCGGUCCACCUUGGAGCCCUGGCCGUCGUCGAUGGGGUUGAAUCCGCCGCCGGCUUGAGCUAAGGGAAAGGAAACCCGUAUAGGGGAGAGAGCGGGGGGCUUCGUGGCAGCUCCAUCGCACCGCUCCUGCCAAGCCACCGCCAAGUCCUGCCGCCGAUCGGAACCCUAGCCACCGCCGUUGAAGAUGCCACCACCGCCACUGCUGUCAAUUGGGAUCAAAAUUGUUGCUGUGUUCCCAGAGCUGUCAUGGAAGUGGUUGAUUCGGUCCCAAUUCCUCCAUUGUAGAGACUAACCAUUAUGGUGGUGUUGAGGCCAUCAGGAAACUGUUAGAGCUGCUGUUGACAAGUUUGAUAUUGCUACCUCAAUUCUGGGUUGUGUUCACUUUUGAUACCCAUUCAAUUUGGAUUUUCUAUUCUGCUGUAAUUACCAUUACCGUCGUGGAUUUAUUGCCACUGCUGCCAUGAAACGAAAAGGGAAGGGGAUCGUCGCGUUUGAUUUCCUUGGAUUUCGACACUUUGAGGUAGGGGUUUGUUUCAAAGUUAACAUAUUUUGGGGUUGAAUACCUGAUGAGUUUAGUGGAUUAAUGCAAGUGAAUUAAUUUCUGUGCUGAAAAUGACUUUCUGCUGUGAUUGAAAUUGUGGCUGAAUUGAUUAUUGAUUUAUCAUUUUUUUUAGUUUCUGGCAAAAAUAAAAUGAUUGAACAGGUUGAUUUUGAACCUUGGUUUGAAAAUGAUUUUUAUUGAUUAUGCAAAAAAUGGUUUUGGAAAUGUUAAUUUGAAAUGUUGGUUUUGAUUGAGCCGAAGUUGAAAUGAGGGGACCCGUAAUGGGUGGCCAACUCCAA